RNAcentral lists this ribosomal RNA (765 nucleotides) under Vreelandella aquamarina. RNAcentral describes it as "bacterial SSU rRNA". It matches the Rfam family "Bacterial small subunit ribosomal RNA", at positions 31 to 796 of the family's 1533-position model. The record is from RNAcentral. Lineage: Bacteria; Pseudomonadati; Pseudomonadota; Gammaproteobacteria; Oceanospirillales; Halomonadaceae.
GGGGGUUGGGCGGCGGCUACCAUGCAGUCGAGCGGUAACAGAUCCAGCUUGCUGGAUGCUGACGAGCGGCGGACGGGUGAGUAAUGCAUAGGAAUCUGCCCGAUAGUGGGGGAUAACCUGGGGAAACCCAGGCUAAUACCGCAUACGUCCUACGGGAGAAAGGGGGCUUCGGCUCCCGCUAUCGGAUGAGCCUAUGUCGGAUUAGCUAGUUGGUGAGGUAACGGCUCACCAAGGCCACGAUCCGUAGCUGGUCUGAGAGGAUGAUCAGCCACAUCGGGACUGAGACACGGCCCGAACUCCUACGGGAGGCAGCAGUGGGGAAUAUUGGACAAUGGGGGGAACCCUGAUCCAGCCAUGCCGCGUGUGUGAAGAAGGCCCUCGGGUUGUAAAGCACUUUCAGCGAGGAAGAACGCCUAGCGGUUAAUACCCGCUAGGAAAGACAUCACUCGCAGAAGAAGCACCGGCUAACUCCGUGCCAGCAGCCGCGGUAAUACGGAGGGUGCAAGCGUUAAUCGGAAUUACUGGGCGUAAAGCGCGCGUAGGUGGCUUGAUAAGCCGGUUGUGAAAGCCCCGGGCUCAACCUGGGAACGGCAUCCGGAACUGUCAAGCUAGAGUGCAGGAGAGGAAGGUAGAAUUCCCGGUGUAGCGGUGAAAUGCGUAGAGAUCGGGAGGAAUACCAGUGGCGAAGGCGGCCUUCUGGACUGACACUGACACUGAGGUGCGAAAGCGUGGGUAGCAAACAGGAUUAGAUACCUUGGGUAGUCA